UGUCUUGCUUCUGAUUGUUAUUAUGGUUCUCAUUUACAUGAUCUGGAAAAAUAACAGCAAUCAUUGCAAAGCUGCUGUCCUGCAGAACAACUUCAGCUAUCAAAAAAUACAACAGAAUAUGAAUACGUGGAUGUUUUCUGGUGUUGUCUUUACCGUGAUGAAAGCUGACAGAUGUACAAAAAACAACACAAAAGCAGAAAAGAGGCAGCAUAUCUACAUGGCUGCCAAGGCUUUUGGGCUGAAUUAGGUCUACUUAUCACUCCUUGGUAUGUUCUUCUGUUCAUGUUAUUAUCAGUGUUUAAUACAGCAGCAGUUUGGUCAUGAAUGGCUGUUGUUUUACUCUGUCUUUUGUCUCAUUUAGAUUAUUGCACAAGCACAUCAAAACUAUGUACUGGAUUGAAAAUCACAUAAGA
This is a long non-coding RNA of Oreochromis niloticus (Nile tilapia), 413 nucleotides long. RefSeq lists it as uncharacterized. NCBI's taxonomy places the organism in Eukaryota, Metazoa, Chordata, Actinopteri, Cichliformes, Cichlidae. The record is from RefSeq and is a predicted model, not a curated record. The transcript has 3 exons.